GCUAGGGGUUCAGGGAGCACCCGGUUUCCAUGUGAAGCUCACAGACCAUCUGGGCAUGGUGGCAGGCUUCUGGCUCCACACACAGUGAUUCCCUAGUUCUGGAUCGAGUCAUUUAGAGACUUUGGGGCCUCUGUAGGACAUCGGCGUUAACCAGCACUUCAUCAUGGGGCAUACUCCCCUGUCGGGCAUCACUGGACCAAGCCUCUGUGUCGGGCUGGUCAGGAGAGCAGUGCUGAGCCUCGGGGAGCCUCCGAGCGCCUCUGAGCAGAGGCUGAAGCCUGGGCACCGCGCCAGGUUACAGGGCCAUCAGAGGGACCCGAGAUGUGGCUGCAGGUCAGACUCUGCGCCCUCGCCGAGCAGAGGGCCUCUGAGAGUGCCAACUGUGGACCUCCCAGACAAAACCCUCCUUGAGCAUUUCAAAAAGGAAAAAUUAAAACAUUUCAAAGGUUUAAAAUUUGGUAAAAGGAAGGAACACAAAAUUCUACUAAUUGAAAUGAGUUUGGUUGGCUCAGAGAGACAUUACUCUUAGAUACUGAAUGUCUGAGUUUCCCAGGGAGAGGAGAGAAAUGAGUCCCAAUCCCUCAAUCUUUUUGUUCUCAGCGUCGGAGCAGAGACAAGAGGAGAAGGAAAGGUGGGACACAGGAAGGUUUGAGAUAUUACCACAGGGAAGAGCAGGAGAAAAGGAGGCUGAUUUCUGUCCUGAAAAGCUCCCUGGGCCAGCAUCAUGAUACCACCCACU
Miniopterus natalensis is the source of this 739-nucleotide non-coding RNA. The record is from RefSeq and is a predicted model, not a curated record. Lineage: Eukaryota; Metazoa; Chordata; Mammalia; Chiroptera; Miniopteridae.